CCAGGAUUUGGGACUUUUAAUUAUUUUCAGAGGACAGCAGAGGAUGGCCUUUAUUUCUGCUUUUUCACAUGUACUGUUUGUGGUACUUUUAAUUUUAGGAUUCACACAGGGGCAGGAAAUGUGACUCAUACUGCAUGUCAUUGAAUAAAAUUUGCAUUAACUUAGAUAGUUUCAUGCAGAAGCAAACACUUCACACUUCUAUAGAGAGGCAGUUUGGAUCAGUGCAACUGAAUCUUCUGUGUGUAUAUUCGGUUGGAACGUUGACACUGAAAACCAUGUUGCUGUGUGUCUGGCUGGUCAGCAGUCUGAUUCACAUGAUCUCAGGCUGUUCUCUAUCUGCACCCACAGAGGUCACUGGGUACACAAGAGACUCCGUGGUCCUGCCUUGCUACUGCACUGAGGGACUGCCCACACCGAACACUGUCAGAUGGUAUUUUUCUCAAGAUAGUUCCAGUGUCAUACUUUGGUCGUAUUCCAAUGAAGGGGACGACCAAUUCAAAGACCGGGUGAUUAUUUCUACCACCCCUGGAAACCUGUCUCUCCAUCUCUCAAAUCUCACUCUGUCAGAUGGGGGUAAAUACAUUUGUCAAGCAGAUGAUGGGCACAACAGACACAUCAGUCUCAAAGUGAAAGAAGCCACAACCCGGUCUCCAACCACAACCAAGCACACAUCCACACAUGGAAGCAAGCCACCCCCCAAAACGGAGAUCUCUGAAGACCUGAAAAACUCCAUCUUGUACGCGACCAUUGCUGUUGUUGCCGCAGUCGCAGUGUGUGGGGCUGUGUUAUUUUACUGCAGAUUUAAAUCCAGGAAAAAUGCACGUGUGGAAUCCAGAGAAGAACAAGAGAUGGGGACCGGGGAGCAGGAGGAGGAAGAGAAUGCUGAUUCAGUGACAUAUUCUACUGUUGUUCACAGUAAAACUGUGAAAAAUACAAACAUCCAAAAUCAAAGUGAAGACUCCACAGAAUAUGCUUCCAUUAAACUUGGAAUGUCAUCAAAUUUAUAGAAAUACCUCGUACACACGCACACGCAUUCACACAAACACACACACACACACACACACACACACAAACACAUUCAUAUAUGCACAUACACACACACCAUCUGUAGCAAAGAGAGCAGUUUGUAACAAUGAGAUCAUUUAUAUUUAAUGUAAACAAUGUUUGUGAAUUUCUUUUGUGAAUCAUGUAAAGUAUAUAGGAUCAGGAUGAAGUUCUAUAUUAUUUUGUAUUUUGCAUCUCAGUACUUCUAGGUGCACUGCAUUAUAGCAUGAUGUUAGUUUAACUUGCAAAGACCUCUGAUUAUUAAUAAUUGUAAUGAUAAAAUUUUGCAUUAAAAAUGUAUGUGUAUUGAUACUGUAGUAUUUCUUUAUAUUAUCUCAUGUGCAACAAUGGAAUGGAAUUAUGGUAUGAGCAUGGAUAACUAUCUUAUUAUUUAAUGUAUGAAAUUGUUUAAAUAAUAUAUCUGUGGAGACAGAAAAUCACUAAUA
Molecule: long non-coding RNA, 1490 nt
Organism: Anguilla anguilla (European eel)
Lineage: Eukaryota; Metazoa; Chordata; Actinopteri; Anguilliformes; Anguillidae
Exons: 3
Source: RefSeq, a predicted model, not a curated record